GAUCAUGGCUCAGGACGAACGCUGGCGGCGUGCCUAACACAUGCAAGUCGAAAGGAAGCAAAGAUUUCGGUUUUUGCUUUGGUGGCGAACGGGUGAGUAACGCGUGAGGAACCUGCCUUUCAGUGGGGGGACAACAGUUGGAACGACUGCUAAUACCGCGAUAAUGCUUUUGAUGGCAUCAUUGAAAAGCCAAAGAUUUAUUGCUGAAAGAUGGCCUCGCGUACUGAUUAGCUAGUUGGUGGGGUAACCGG
Molecule: ribosomal RNA, 251 nt
Filed under: uncultured bacterium
Lineage: Bacteria
Description: partial 16S ribosomal RNA
Rfam family: Bacterial small subunit ribosomal RNA
Source: RNAcentral